GAUGAACGCUGGCGGCGUGCCUAAUACAUGCAAGUCGAGCGAACGGACGAGGAGCUUGCUUCUCUGAUGUUAGCGGCGGACGGGUGAGUAACACGUGGAUAACCUACCUAUAAGACUGGGAUAACUUCGGGAAACCGGAGCUAAUACCGGAUAAUAUUUUGAACCGCAUGGUUCAAAAGUGAAAGACGGUCUUGCUGUCACUUAUAGAUGGAUCCGCGCUGCAUUAGCUAGUUGGUAAGGUAACGGCUUACCAAGGCAACGAUGCAUAGCCGACCUGAGAGGGUGAUCGGCAACACUGGAACUGAGACACGGUCCAGACUCCUACGGGAGGCAGCAGUAGGGAAUCUUCCGCAAUGGGAGAAAGCCUGACGGAGCAACGCCGCGUGAGUGAUGAAGGUCUUCGGAUCGUAAAACUCUGUUAUUAGGGAAGAACAUAUGUGUAAGUAACUGUGCACAUCUUUACGGUACCUAAGCAGAAAGCCACGGCUAACUACGUG
RNAcentral lists this ribosomal RNA (497 nucleotides) under uncultured bacterium. RNAcentral's name for it is "partial 16S ribosomal RNA". It matches the Rfam family "Bacterial small subunit ribosomal RNA", at positions 28 to 507 of the family's 1533-position model. The record is from RNAcentral.